RNAcentral lists this long non-coding RNA (1086 nucleotides) under Gossypium barbadense (sea-island cotton). Its description in RNAcentral is "long non-coding RNA (GBAR_LNC021689)". Lineage: Eukaryota; Viridiplantae; Streptophyta; Magnoliopsida; Malvales; Malvaceae. The record is from RNAcentral.
UUCAACGGUGUCCAAAUCAUGCCGAUAUUCAAGUUUAAAUAUUUAUCCAGACGAGAAAAAGAAAAUUUGGUAAUAAAAUGGUGUGAACAAAAAUGAACCGUUCAUUAAGGAAUGUGGAGAAGGUGGAGCUUUUAAUUUGAUUCAACAUCGUACAAUUGACGUAACCAUCCAUUAGCCGAAAUACAAAUUGAAUUUUGUAGAAAAACGAUGGCGAUACAAUUAGCUGACAGCGGGCAGGGGCUGAUGAUGAUCACCAUUUUUGCUUAGAAAUAACCCAACAGCUGUCCAUCAUUUUCCUUUCGAAUAGAAACACAGGUAAUCCAAGUCGCCUUCUUAAAUGGCCCCACAAAUCCGAAUCUUUGAGAUAUUGCCUGCAUUCUUCCCAUGGGUGACUUGCUGCUUCUUAUAGUCGGGAAAAGGGUCGCUUUCUUCUGCUUUAUUUGGCGGAUGGACCCACCAAGUCUCCCUCCAUCUACUUCUUCAUCUUAAAAUUAUUGGAUGGUGUUUAGAUCGACCAUUUGUUAUUUUUCAGAUCCAUAUUUUAACUGAUUUUUAGUCUAAUUAAUUUAUUCAUUCGAUUCAAAUAAUACCGAUUUAAACUUUAAUCGAAUUGAAUUUUGGCCAUCAGAUUUCUUUACUCAAACUUAGUUUAGAUAGAAUAAAUAACCUGACGAAAGAAUAAAUAACACUCUUAAAUAACUUUUUAAGUAAUAAUAAAUUAUUAAUUAGAUUUAAUGUUUGUUUAUUGAAUAUGUUGUGAUUUUCUUUGUAAUGUGAACAUUUCUCUUUCAUGAAGGCAAUCCAAGCCGAACUUUGUCUGCAAAUUCCGAAGGGAUAAGCGCUGAUCCUUCCCUUUCCUUGGGUAUCAGGCCAAAUCAAGGGGAAUUUGAAACCAGCUGCUUUUGACAUUUUCUUUUCUGCAGAUUAGCCAAUGAUUGUAUAAAAGAUUGUAACAUUUCAAAGAUUACAAUGCCAGCAUUUCUUCUUAUAUCAUUUUAUUGGUAUUACUGAAAUGGAAAGAUGAAUUUGGUUUUGGCCGGUUAUCUGAAACAAUUAUAAUAUUUCAUUUGUAUAAACUUAUAGAAC